Molecule: ribosomal RNA, 406 nt
Filed under: uncultured bacterium
Lineage: Bacteria
Description: partial 16S ribosomal RNA
Rfam family: Bacterial small subunit ribosomal RNA
Source: RNAcentral
GACGAACGCUGGCGGCAGGCCUAACACAUGCAAGUCGAACGAGUGGCGGACGGGUGAGCAAUGUCUGGGAAACUGCCUGAUGUAGGCGGAUAACUACUGGAAACGGUAGCUAAUGCCGCAUACCAUCCGUUGUGCCCUGAUGGGAUUAGCUAGUAGGUGGGGUAAAGGCUCAUCUAGGCGACGCUCCCUAGCUGGUCUGAGAGGAUGAGCAGCCACACUGGGACUGAGACACGGUCCAGACUCCUACGGGAGGCAGCAGUAGGGAAUAUUGCACAAUGGGCGCAAGCCUGAUGCAGCAAUGCCGCGUGUAUGAAGAAGGUCUUCGGGUUGUAAAGUACUUUCAGCGGAGAAGCGUUACCUGCAGAGGAAGCAACGGCUAACUCCGUGCCAGCAGCCGCGGUAAUUC